RNAcentral lists this ribosomal RNA (2903 nucleotides) under Klebsiella variicola. Its description in RNAcentral is "23S ribosomal RNA". It matches the Rfam family "Bacterial large subunit ribosomal RNA". The record is from RNAcentral. Lineage: Bacteria; Pseudomonadati; Pseudomonadota; Gammaproteobacteria; Enterobacterales; Enterobacteriaceae.
GGUUAAGCGACUAAGCGUACACGGUGGAUGCCCUGGCAGUCAGAGGCGAUGAAGGACGUGCUAAUCUGCGAAAAGCGUCGGUAAGGUGAUAUGAACCGUUACAGCCGGCGAUGUCCGAAUGGGGAAACCCAGUGCAAUUCGUUGCACUAUCGUUAACUGAAUACAUAGGUUAACGAGGCGAACCGGGGGAACUGAAACAUCUAAGUACCCCGAGGAAAAGAAAUCAACCGAGAUUCCCCCAGUAGCGGCGAGCGAACGGGGAGCAGCCCAGAGUCUGAAUCAGCUUGUGUGUUAGUGGAACGGUCUGGAAAGUCCGACGGUACAGGGUGAUAGUCCCGUACACCAAAAUGCACAGGUUGUGAACUCGAAGAGUAGGGCGGGACACGUGGUAUCCUGUCUGAAUAUGGGGGGACCAUCCUCCAAGGCUAAAUACUCCUGACUGACCGAUAGUGAACCAGUACCGUGAGGGAAAGGCGAAAAGAACCCCGGCGAGGGGAGUGAAAAAGAACCUGAAACCGUGUACGUACAAGCAGUGGGAGCACCUUCGGGUGUGACUGCGUACCUUUUGUAUAAUGGGUCAGCGACUUAUAUUCUGUAGCAAGGUUAACCGUAUAGGGGAGCCGCAGGGAAACCGAGUCUUAACUGGGCGUUAAGUUGCAGGGUAUAGACCCGAAACCCGGUGAUCUAGCCAUGGGCAGGUUGAAGGUUGGGUAACACUAACUGGAGGACCGAACCGACUAAUGUUGAAAAAUUAGCGGAUGACUUGUGGCUGGGGGUGAAAGGCCAAUCAAACCGGGAGAUAGCUGGUUCUCCCCGAAAGCUAUUUAGGUAGCGCCUCGUGAAUUCAUCUUCGGGGGUAGAGCACUGUUUCGGCUAGGGGGUCAUCCCGACUUACCAACCCGAUGCAAACUACGAAUACCGAAGAAUGUUAUCACGGGAGACACACGGCGGGUGCUAACGUCCGUCGUGAAGAGGGAAACAACCCAGACCGCCAGCUAAGGUCCCAAAGUCAUGGUUAAGUGGGAAACGAUGUGGGAAGGCACAGACAGCCAGGAUGUUGGCUUAGAAGCAGCCAUCAUUUAAAGAAAGCGUAAUAGCUCACUGGUCGAGUCGGCCUGCGCGGAAGAUGUAACGGGGCUAAACCAUGCACCGAAGCUGCGGCAGCGACACUAUGUGUUGUUGGGUAGGGGAGCGUUCUGUAAGCCUGCGAAGGUGGCCUGUGAGGGUUGCUGGAGGUAUCAGAAGUGCGAAUGCUGACAUAAGUAACGAUAAAGCGGGUGAAAAGCCCGCUCGCCGGAAGACCAAGGGUUCCUGUCCAACGUUAAUCGGGGCAGGGUGAGUCGACCCCAAGGCGAGGCCGAAAGGCGUAGUCGAUGGGAAACAGGUUAAUAUUCCUGUACUUGGUGUUACUGCGAAGGGGGGACGGAGAAGGCUAUGUUAGCCGGGCGACGGUUGUCCCGGUUUAAGCAUGUAGGCGGAGGUUCCAGGUAAAUCCGGUACCUUUUAACGCUGAGGUGUGAUGACGAGGCACUACGGUGCUGAAGUAACAAAUGCCCUGCUUCCAGGAAAAGCCUCUAAGCAUCAGGUAACAUCAAAUCGUACCCCAAACCGACACAGGUGGUCAGGUAGAGAAUACCAAGGCGCUUGAGAGAACUCGGGUGAAGGAACUAGGCAAAAUGGUGCCGUAACUUCGGGAGAAGGCACGCUGGUGUGUAGGUGAAGUCCCUGCGGAUGGAGCUGAGACCAGUCGAAGAUACCAGCUGGCUGCAACUGUUUAUUAAAAACACAGCACUGUGCAAACACGAAAGUGGACGUAUACGGUGUGACGCCUGCCCGGUGCCGGAAGGUUAAUUGAUGGGGUUAUCCGUAAGGAGAAGCUCUUGAUCGAAGCCCCGGUAAACGGCGGCCGUAACUAUAACGGUCCUAAGGUAGCGAAAUUCCUUGUCGGGUAAGUUCCGACCUGCACGAAUGGCGUAAUGAUGGCCAGGCUGUCUCCACCCGAGACUCAGUGAAAUUGAACUCGCUGUGAAGAUGCAGUGUACCCGCGGCAAGACGGAAAGACCCCGUGAACCUUUACUAUAGCUUGACACUGAACAUUGAGCCUUGAUGUGUAGGAUAGGUGGGAGGCUUUGAAGCGUGGACGCCAGUCUGCGUGGAGCCAACCUUGAAAUACCACCCUUUAAUGUUUGAUGUUCUAACGUUGGCCCCUUAUCGGGGUUGCGGACAGUGUCUGGUGGGUAGUUUGACUGGGGCGGUCUCCUCCCAAAGAGUAACGGAGGAGCACGAAGGUUAGCUAAUCCUGGUCGGACAUCAGGAGGUUAGUGCAAUGGCAUAAGCUAGCUUGACUGCGAGCGUGACGGCGCGAGCAGGUGCGAAAGCAGGUCAUAGUGAUCCGGUGGUUCUGAAUGGAAGGGCCAUCGCUCAACGGAUAAAAGGUACUCCGGGGAUAACAGGCUGAUACCGCCCAAGAGUUCAUAUCGACGGCGGUGUUUGGCACCUCGAUGUCGGCUCAUCACAUCCUGGGGCUGAAGUAGGUCCCAAGGGUAUGGCUGUUCGCCAUUUAAAGUGGUACGCGAGCUGGGUUUAGAACGUCGUGAGACAGUUCGGUCCCUAUCUGCCGUGGGCGCUGGAGAAUUGAGGGGGGCUGCUCCUAGUACGAGAGGACCGGAGUGGACGCAUCACUGGUGUUCGGGUUGUCAUGCCAAUGGCACUGCCCGGUAGCUAAAUGCGGAAGAGAUAAGUGCUGAAAGCAUCUAAGCACGAAACUUGCCCCGAGAUGAGUUCUCCCUGAGACUAUAAGUCUCCUGAAGGAACGUUGAAGACGACGACGUUGAUAGGCCGGGUGUGUAAGCGCAGCGAUGCGUUGAGCUAACCGGUACUAAUGAACCGUGAGGCUUAACCUU